GAAGUGUAGGCGGAAGAGGGCGCGGAGAGCGGCGGGAGGGAGUUUUGAGGGGUCCCCGGGAUGGAGCCCCCCCCGCAGGAGCCAGUGCCCCAGCCCAGUGCCAUGGACGCCCUGCACCAGGCUGGCAUCCACGCCGCCGUGGCCCUGCAGGCUGGGCCGCCCUGGCUGGAGCAGUUCUGGCUGCUGCUGAGCUCGCACCUGGGCCCCGGCUCCAUCUACACCGUGUGCUUCCCGCUGGCCCGCGGCCUGGACGAGCGCGUGUCCCUCAUGGUGCUCUGGAUCGCCCUGCUGGCCGAGUGGCUCAACGUGGUGCUCAAGUGGUUCCUGUUCGGGGAGCGCCCGUACUGGUGGAUGCACGAGUCAGGGAUGGCUGAGCGGGAGCAGCUCCCCCUGCGCCAGUUCCCGGUCACCUGUGAGACGGGACCAGGGAGCCCCUCGGGGCACUGCAUGAUCCUGGGGGCGGCCCUGUGGCCCGUUGUCACCGCCCUGAGCGAGGCAGUGGCCAGGUGCAGCCGGAGCCGGCUGCUGAGGCUGCUCCCGUUCCUGCUCUACCUCCUCCUGCUGGCGGCCAUGGGGCUCUCCCGGAUCUUCGUCCUGGCCCAUUUCCCCCACCAGGUGAUCUCCGGCUCCCUGGCAGGGCUGGCUCUGGGCUGGGGGCUGCAGCGCUGGCCCCCCAACUUCCUCAAGGUUCGCUUCUUCCUGCUGACGGCUCUGGGGCUGGUGCUGAGCGCGCUGGCCCUGCACGGGCUGGCCACGGCCGCGGGGCUGGACCUGGACUGGUCCCUCCGCCGGGCCAGCUCCCGCUGCUCGGACCCGGCGUGGCUGCGGCCCGAGACGCGGCCCUGGGCCUCGCUGUGCCGGGUGGGCGGCAGCGCGCUGGGCCUGGCCGUGGCCGCCUGGCUGCCCCUGAGCCGCCGCGCCGCCGAGGAGCUGCGGCUGCUGGAGCCGCCGCUGGGCAGCGCCGCGCUGGGGCUGCUGGCGCUCGACGUGCUGCACAAGCUGCCCAAGAGCCACCACACCGCCCUGUGGUACCUGAACGUGGGGGCUCGCUACGCGCUGGGCCCCGUGCUGGUGGGGACCCUGCUGCCCCUGCUCAUCCUCACCCUGCGGCGGCUCCGCGAGACCCCCUAGAGCCGCCCUCGGUGUCGGGGAGAGGGGGGGGUCUGCUCCCGGUUCGUCCCCGCCUGUACCGAGGACCCCCGGAUUGAGUGGGGGGUGUCUGCUCUGUUCCAGUUCAUCCCCACCCUUCCUUUCCUCCAGGACCCCAGAUUGAGUGGGGGGUCUGUGCUCUGUUCCCAGUUCAUCCUCACCCUCCCUUUCCUCCAGGGACCCUCAAAUUGAGUGGGGGGUCUGUGCUCUGUUCCCAUUCACUCUCACACUCCUUCUCCCCAAACUGAGCAUUGUCCCAGUUCAUGCUCCCCCUCCCCUGCCCCAGGGACCCCCCCCCUCACCCCGGGCAGGGGUCCCUGAGCCCCUCCCCUGCCCCUGGGGGUGCCCAGCGGGGUCUGGGGACACAGCCCAGGGACAGCCCCGGCGCGGGGACACGGAGCUGCCACCCCCUCCCCAGCUGUCCCCACCCCUCUGCAGCAGGGAUGGGACCCCCCCCCAUGGAUGGGACCCCCCCAAUGGAUGGGACCCCCCCUCAGCCCGGUGCGUGCGGGGCCGCCCCCGUUUGGAAUCAAAUAAAGCAGCAGAACCGAGCCGGGCCCCGAGU
Molecule: RNA transcript, 1714 nt
Organism: Melozone crissalis (California towhee)
Lineage: Eukaryota; Metazoa; Chordata; Aves; Passeriformes; Passerellidae
Gene: G6PC3
Gene name: glucose-6-phosphatase catalytic subunit 3
Exons: 8
Source: RefSeq, a predicted model, not a curated record